GAUGAAGAACGUAGCGAAAUGCGAUAAGUAAUGUGAAUUGCAGAAUUCAGUGAAUCAUCGAAUCUUUGAACGCAUCUUGCGCUCCUUGGUAUUCUGAGGAGCAUGCCUGUUUGAGUGUCAUUAAAUUCUCAACUACACUGACUUUGAAUUGGUGUGGCUUGGAUUUGGGGGGAAAAUUGUUGUGGGCUUUUUGUAUAGUCUGCUCCCCUGAAAUUGAUUAGCGGUACCUUUGUGGAACUGUCUACAGGUGUGAUAAUUAUCUACAUCUUAGACAUCUGCUGGAAUGCUGCUUUCUAAACCUUACUUGUAUUGACAAUCUUGACCUCAAAUCAGGUAGGGCUACCCGCUGAACUUAAGCAUAUCAAUAAGCGGAGGA
This 376-nucleotide unclassified non-coding RNA is filed under the name soil metagenome. RNAcentral's name for it is "partial contains 5.8S ribosomal RNA, internal transcribed spacer 2, and large subunit ribosomal RNA". The stretch from base 1 to 120 matches the Rfam family "5.8S ribosomal RNA", at positions 35 to 154 of the family's 154-position model. The record is from RNAcentral.